AUUGAACGCUGGCGGCAGGCCUAACACAUGCAAGUCGAACGAGUGGCGGACGGGUGAGUAAUGUCUGGGAAACUGCCUGAUGGAGGGGGAUAACUACUGGAAAAGGUAGCUAAUACCGCAUACCAUCGGAUGUGCCCAGAUGGGAUUAGCUUGUAGGUUGGGUAACGGCUCACCUAGGCGACGCACCCUAGCUGGUCUGAGAGGAUGCCCAGCAACACUGGAAAUGAGACACGGUCCAGAAGCCUACGGGAGGCAGCAGUGGGGAAUAUUGAACAAGGGGCGCAAGCCUGAUGCAGCCAGGCCGCGUGUAUGAAGAAGGCCUUAGGGUUGUAAAGUACUUUCAGCGGGGAGGCGUUACCCGCAGAAGAAGCACCGGCUAACUCCGUGCCAGCAGCCGCGGUAAUUC
This 406-nucleotide ribosomal RNA is filed under the name uncultured bacterium. Its description in RNAcentral is "partial 16S ribosomal RNA". It matches the Rfam family "Bacterial small subunit ribosomal RNA", at positions 30 to 526 of the family's 1533-position model. The record is from RNAcentral.